AGUGAACGCUGGCGGUAGGCCUAACACAUGCAAGUCGAACGGCAGCACAGUAAGAGCUUGCUCUUACGGGUGGCGAGUGGCGGACGGGUGAGGAAUACAUCGGAAUCUACUUUUUCGUGGGGGAUAACGUAGGGAAACUUACGCUAAUACCGCAUACGACCUACGGGUGAAAGCAGGGGAUCUUCGGACCUUGCGCGAUUGAAUGCGCCGAUGUCGGAUUAGCUAGUUGGCGGGGUAAAGGCCCACCAAGGCGACGAUCCGUAGCUGGUCUGAGAGGAUGAUCAGCCACACUGGAACUGAGACACGGUCCAGACUCCUACGGGAGGCAGCAGUGGGGAAUAUUGGACAAUGGGCGCAAGCCUGAUCCAGCCAUACCGCGUGGGUGAAGAAGGCCUUCGGGUUGUAAAGCCCUUUUGUUGGGAAAGAAAAGCAGCAGGUUAAUACCCCGCUGUUCUGACGGUACUCAAAGAAUAAGCACCGGCUAACUUCGUG
Molecule: ribosomal RNA, 492 nt
Filed under: uncultured bacterium
Lineage: Bacteria
Description: partial 16S ribosomal RNA
Rfam family: Bacterial small subunit ribosomal RNA
Source: RNAcentral